This 1000-nucleotide ribosomal RNA is filed under the name Bacillus subtilis. RNAcentral's name for it is "bacterial SSU rRNA". It matches the Rfam family "Bacterial small subunit ribosomal RNA", at positions 33 to 1016 of the family's 1533-position model. The record is from RNAcentral. Lineage: Bacteria; Bacillati; Bacillota; Bacilli; Caryophanales; Bacillaceae.
ACAAUUCCGGCGUGCUAUACAUGCAGUCGAGCGGACAGAUGGGAGCUUGCUCCCUGAUGUUAGCGGCGGACGGGUGAGAAACACGUGGGUAACCUGCCUGUAAGACUGGGAUAACUCCGGGAAACCGGGGCUAAUACCGGAUGGUUGUUUGAACCGCAUGGUUCAAACAUAAAAGGUGGCUUCGGCUACCACUUACAGAUGGACCCGCGGCGCAUUAGCUAGUUGGUGAGGUAACGGCUCACCAAGGCAACGAUGCGUAGCCGACCUGAGAGGGUGAUCGGCCACACUGGGACUGAGACACGGCCCAGACUCCUACGGGAGGCAGCAGUAGGGAAUCUUCCGCAAUGGACGAAAGUCUGACGGAGCAACGCCGCGUGAGUGAUGAAGGUUUUCGGAUCGUAAAGCUCUGUUGUUAGGGAAGAACAAGUACCGUUCGAAUAGGGCGGUACCUUGACGGUACCUAACCAGAAAGCCACGGCUAACUACGUGCCAGCAGCCGCGGUAAUACGUAGGUGGCAAGCGUUGUCCGGAAUUAUUGGGCGUAAAGGGCUCGCAGGCGGUUUCUUAAGUCUGAUGUGAAAGCCCCCGGCUCAACCGGGGAGGGUCAUUGGAAACUGGGAACUUGAGUGCAGAAGAGGAGAGUGGAAUUCCACGUGUAGCGGUGAAAUGCGUAGAGAUGUGGAGGAACACCAGUGGCGAAGGCGACUCUCUGGUCUGUAACUGACGCUGAGGAGCGAAAGCGUGGGGAGCGAACAGGAUUAGAUACCCUGGUAGUCCACGCCGUAAACGAUGAGUGCUAAGUGUUAGGGGGUUUCCGCCCCUUAGUGCUGCAGCUAACGCAUUAAGCACUCCGCCUGGGGGAGUACGGUCGCAAGACUGAAACUCAAAGGAAUGACGGGGGCCCGCACAAGCGGUGGAGCAUGGUGGUUUAAUUCGAAGCAACCGCGAAGAACCUUACCAGGUCUGGACAUCCUCUGACAAUUCUAGAGAUAGACGUCCC